This 424-nucleotide ribosomal RNA is filed under the name uncultured prokaryote. RNAcentral describes it as "bacterial SSU rRNA". It matches the Rfam family "Bacterial small subunit ribosomal RNA", at positions 355 to 796 of the family's 1533-position model. The record is from RNAcentral.
CAAGGAAUUUUCCGCAAUGGGCGCAAGCCUGACGGAGCAACGCCGCGUGCAGGACGACGGCCUUCGGGUUGUAAACUGCUUUUCGGCGGGACGAUGAUGACGGUACCGCCGGAAGAAGCCCCGGCUAACUCCGUGCCAGCAGCCGCGGUAAGACGGAGGGGGCAAGCGUUGUCCGGACUCACUGGGCGUAAAGGGCGCGCAGGCGGGACGGCGCGUCGGCGCUGAAAGCGCCCGGCUUAACCGGGCGCGGCGCGGCGAUACGACCGACCUGGAGGCAGGCAGAGGGUGGCGGAAUUCCGGGUGUAGUGGUGAAAUGCGUAGAGAUCCGGAGGAACGCCUGUGGCGCAAGCGGCCGCCUGGGCCUGACCUGACGCUGAGGCGCGAAAGCGUGGGGAGCGAACCGGAUUAGAUACCCCCGUAGUCC